UACGUAGGGCGCAAGCGUUGUCCGGAAUUAUUGGGCGUAAAGAGCUCGUAGGCGGUUUGUCGCGUCUGCUGUGAAAACCUAAGGCUCAACCUUGGGCUUGCAGUGGGUACGGGCAGACUAGAGUGCGGUAGGGGUGACUGGAAUUCCUGGUGUAGCGGUGGAAUGCGCAGAUAUCAGGAGGAACACCAAUGGCGAAGGCAGAUCUCUGGGCCGUAACUGACGCU
Molecule: ribosomal RNA, 224 nt
Filed under: uncultured bacterium
Lineage: Bacteria
Description: partial 16S ribosomal RNA
Rfam family: Bacterial small subunit ribosomal RNA
Source: RNAcentral